CAAUCUCCUGAAGACACAUUUGAACUUGAAAUCUAUCUGAUGAAACCCCAAAGUCAUGGGUUUCCUGUACUACUCUGCACUGGCAAACCUGUGGUCUCGAUAGACAAUGGGUAAAUGUCAGUGUUUCAAAGGGAGAUCACACAGCUUGUGUUGUACAGGAGCGGAGGCCUAGAUACAGCCAUCAUUAGUCAGCUGUGGUUUUCUGCCAUAACACAGCAAGGCCCUCACUGCAAGUCUCUCUCACGUUACGACAUGGCCACUGAAUGCUGGCACAUGACAACUUCACCCUGACGCAGGGCUUUCUUAUCAGCCUGUUCAAGAGGGUGACAGACCUCAUGAGAAAGCUGGAUAUCGAAAUGAAGAGUAAGAGAUGAUAUUGAAGAGGAAAAAGAAGGCCAAAGGCACCUGUGUCUUGUGUCAGAGUGACCUCUUGGGCAGAGGUCAGGGAAGGUAAGCCCCCUAUAGUUCAGACAGACAAGAUAUCAGCAGUUUUCUAUUGUAUUCAUCACAUGAUACCUGCAGGUUGCAAUGUCAGCAACACUUUGGAAAUGUUUUUACAUGGGUUUUGCUCUGAAAGGACCUUAGAGAGAGAGAGAGAGAGAGAGAGAGAAAGAGAGAGAGAGAGAAAGAGAGAGACCCUAUAUUGGGGUCCUGGACUGAAUAGUGAUUGGGGAGAGAGAGAAAAGCUCCUCUCCUCUAACCCCCAUGUCAGUGUGUUCCCUCUAUCAUACUAAGCUCCUGGCCGAAGAAGACGGAGCUGGUUGCCAAGGAGACGCACCACCUUCAAGGAGGACGAGAGCUCUCGCAAAUCAACCCAUUUAUUCCUUACUGUGACGUGAGGACCAGUGAUAACAGUGACUAGUGUGUGGUAGUGUGUUUACUGGGAAGCCGUAUACUGUAGCCUCGUUUUUCAAGCCAGUACGUUCUUUCUCUCAAUGACUACUGCAUCACAUCUACUGCUUCCAGGCCAUAUCAGUGACAUACAGUUUGACUGUAACAGCCUCCUCCACUGCUCACCAUGUUAAUGCCAACUGUCCUGGCAGUAUGUUUCCCCCUCCCUUAGUGAUAAUGAAAUCACAGAGACUAUCCUCUUCCUCCCAUUGGCUGGGAAGCACCAUGGAGAUGCCCUCUGAUUGGUCAUACCCAGCAUGCACACUCGGCCAAUCAGGCUCACUGUAUCCAUGAGACUGAAGCAUGUUGGGCUAUUUAAAUCCAACCAGAGACACACAAGAUUGCUUAGAUGUACAUUUGUAUUUUUUUUAAAGCAGGGGGGAAAGGUUUGCGAGUGGACAAACGUUGCAAAUCGAGACAGACCUGCUCGCUGCAACGUGGUCGACACAUCUUCGGGGUUAAACUAACCCAGGGCGAAGCGUGAGUUGAAUGAAUGAAAGCAGAGUACCCAUUCAGCUGUGUCAGGGGGACACUGGGUAUUGGUUGUUCAUGCCACAGGAACGUGGUACAAACAAUGUUCUACAUCUCACAGAGGAGCAGCAUUCGAAAGAAAAGCACAGAAUGAAAAAGACGACGUAAGUCCGCUGCCAUUUUGUGUUCGCUCUUUUUUUAUUUGAACAACGUCACAUUUUCACUGACCAUAAAAUGGCGGAUAAUUCUUCUCCCGCCAGGUCAGCCAUUACGGUCGUUUCGAGAUUUGUUUUAGUUUAAUAUCAUCUGCAACAUAUGCCGUAAUGGUGACCAUAAUUUUGAUGGACUUUGGAAACACUUUUAAAAGAUUAGUAUUUUGUAAAUCAGAUUUCAUCCAAAUAUUUUUUGCAUUAUAAUGCAUUUUCUACAGCCUUAUCUUAAUUUCAAAGUAAACUACAUGUAUGACCCAUGUACAUUAAAAU
Molecule: long non-coding RNA, 1844 nt
Filed under: Salmo salar (Atlantic salmon)
Lineage: Eukaryota; Metazoa; Chordata; Actinopteri; Salmoniformes; Salmonidae
Description: lncRNA (ENSSSAG00000121981.1)
Source: RNAcentral